Non-coding RNA from Erpetoichthys calabaricus (reedfish), 408 nucleotides. The record is from the annotation of a RefSeq genome assembly. Lineage: Eukaryota; Metazoa; Chordata; Cladistia; Polypteriformes; Polypteridae.
CCUCUGCCUGAUCACUGAGCCACAAUGACUCGCCUGCUACACUUCCUCUUGACCCUCUCCUUCUUUACUUGGGAGUCCAGUGGGGAGAUUGUCCUCACCCAAACACCAACAGAGAAGUUUAUAUUGUCUGGAGAUAGCGUCACCCUUCAGUGUCAGACCAGCAGCACCAUUGGAUUUCAGAAUGUCUGGAGGGACAUGCAGUACAGCCUGGCCUGGUACCAUCAGAGGGCUGGUGAGGCUCCUAAACUCCUAAUUCACUUGGCCACCUCCCGCAGAUCUGGGGUUUCCGGUCGCUUUAGUGGGAGCGGAGCAGGUACAAGCUUUUCACUCACCAUCAAUGCCAUUCAGCCUGAAGAUGCCGGACGUUACUACUGUCAGCAGUACAGGGAGACUCCUCUGACACGGUGA